RNAcentral lists this long non-coding RNA (1977 nucleotides) under Nicotiana benthamiana. RNAcentral describes it as "long non-coding RNA (NBEN_LNC029633)". The record is from RNAcentral. Lineage: Eukaryota; Viridiplantae; Streptophyta; Magnoliopsida; Solanales; Solanaceae.
UAUUUGUUUAUUCUUUUCCUGAUUCUCUAUGCUUUCAUCUAUGAGGAAGAAACCCAAGAUUUUUGGGGGGUUUCAGACUACUUGUGUGUGAGUAUUUUGCUUCCUGUUUAAUUUCAAAACCCUACUACUCUAAAACUCAUCUCUGCUUUGAAAGACCUCUUGAUUUCUCGCACAUCUAUGUUCUUCUACUUUGCAUGACUACUCUGCUUAUUUUUAACCUUGCAGGUUUAAGUUUAUUCUCCAUUUUACAGUCAAAUAUUUCUUUCUCUGAACAACCCUAAUUUUUGGGGAUUGAUUUUAUGUGAACUUACUUGAAUCUCUCCUUGUCUGAUUUGGACCUAUAUUCUGACUUAAUGCAUUACUGAGUUCGAAUCCCUGAUUCUUGAUUAAUUGAUUUUACCUUAACCUUAUUUAUCUAACCGUGUAUUUUUUAAAGCUAUUCCUAUGUAUUUACCCCUUAUUGCACCAUGUCUUACUGAUUUUUCUUUCCUUAAAUGUCACUCUGUCCUCUCUAUUCAAAUUUGAAUUCCAUAAUUAAAGGAACUCCCCUCUCUAAUUGAUUCUGAUUGGUAUUGAAUUAUGUUUUUGCCUUACUUAUCACUUGUCUUCAAACUAUAAAUACUCUACUCGUUCUCUUCAAAACAGACACGAACAAUUUUCAUAAGUUCAUACUAAAAACUCUCUCUUCUCUUCUCUAUUCUGCUCUGCUACUUGUUGUACUACUUGUGUUAGCCGGCUGAAGGCCAAGACUAACUAUAAGAUCCUAUUUGUUCUGUUUGCAUUACUGUUUGAAACUUGCAACUGGUAGGUUCCAUGAUUUAAAUACCACCUCCAAACUAUGUGUUUACUUAUGCUUUUCAUAUAUCUGUUUAUGCUCUGUUUCCCUACAUCAUGCAAUUGAACCGCAACAUGUCUACUUACCCUUUCCCCAUGUGUUUAUGUUCAAUAUGUGGAUAAAUUUUAGCAUGCACAUCCCUACUCCUUAUUCCUCAUGUUUUUGAUGCUGUGUGUGUGUGUGUGAUUAUCUUCCUACACACCCCUCCCCAAAACCCCUAUAGUUUAACUAUGUUCUGUUUUUUUGUGUAAAUGCUUUCAUAUCUGAUCCCUUUCCCCGACCCCUUUGUAUGUGAGCAUUUUUUUGGACUAGAGUGGUACCCUAUUGCCACCUCUAGUUCAGAACCAGGUUUUUCUCAACCUAUACUCAAAGUAAUACCCUUCCCUUAACCCCCCAUUAUGUGUUGAGCUUUGACUCACGUCUGUUGGUGGCCUAAUCACCAUACAGGCCUAAGUCUGACUUAUUUCAAGUUUGCUCUUACUUGUUAAACCAUGUAAAGGGCCAGGGGUGUGCCAGUCCCCUUAAUGGCUAGGUAUGACCACCUUUGCAUUGGUUAUCCUCUAAUCCUUCACCUGCACACUCAUUCUUAGUCUGUUACGUUCUGCCCCCCUUUGGUAAGCCAUGCCUUGGGACCUUUGAGCUCCCUCUGAUCUCGGAGGCCUUAGGGCUGGUACUUCCAUACUGCAUUAUUCUGUUUAGGUGUUAAUCACUCUCGGGAAUCCUUGAGAUUCCUUGGAACUCUGAAAACACCUUGAGUAUUAGAAGGCCUUGCAAUCUGGAAUUUGGAUUUGGUAAAAUGCAUGGGUUGGAGAUUAAGGUUGCUUCGAGACUCCCUGGGCCUGUUAUAGUUCUGAUGUAUUUAUUUAGUUUCUUAAAGUCCUUUCUUUCAAGCUUUGUAAUAAUUGUGUAAAAGACUUGGGGAUAUUAGUGAAAGGGUGUUGGAAAGGCUUUACUAUUUCCGCACAUGUCAAAGUUAGAAACAAUUUUUAUAGGAUUCUGUGCUCACAUCAUUUAGAAAGCAUGCAUAUAGGACUUGCAUAUUUUUGUAAUUAAAUGCAUAUAGAAAUCCUGCCUAUAGGACUUGCACAUCUUCAUGAUCAAAUGUAUAUAGAAAUCAUGCCUAUAGGACUUGCAUAUUUUUG